RNAcentral lists this ribosomal RNA (492 nucleotides) under uncultured Alkaliflexus sp. RNAcentral describes it as "bacterial SSU rRNA". It matches the Rfam family "Bacterial small subunit ribosomal RNA", at positions 903 to 1382 of the family's 1533-position model. Lineage: Bacteria; Pseudomonadati; Bacteroidota; Bacteroidia; Marinilabiliales; Marinilabiliaceae. The record is from RNAcentral.
GAAACUACGAAAGGUAAUUGGACGGGGCCCGCACAGCGGAGGAACAUGUGGUUUAAUUCGAUGAUACGCGAGGAACCUUACCUGGGUCUUAAAUGUAGAGUGCUAUUUUUUAGUAGAUAGAAAUUCCCUUUCGGGGCUUUCUGCAAGGUGCUGCAUGGUUGUCGUCAGCUCGUGCCGUGAGGUGUCGGGUUAAGUCCCAUAACGAGCGCAACCCCUAUUGAUAGUUACCAGCACGUAAUGGUGGGGACUCUAUCGAGACUGCCGGUGUAAACCGUGAGGAAGGUGGGGAUGACGUCAAAUCAGCACGGCCCUUACAUCCAGGGCUACACACGUGUUACAAUGGCCGGUACAAAGGGCAGCUACUCCGCGAGGAGAUGCGAAUCUUAAAAACCGGUCUCAGUUCGGAUCGAAGUCUGCAACCCGACUUCGUGAAGCUGGAUUCGCUAGUAAUCGUAUAUCAGCCAUGAUACGGUGAAUACGUUCCCGGGCCUU